GACGAACGCUGGCGGCGUGCUUAACACAUGCAAGUCGAACGAUGAAGGAGAGCUUGCUCUCCGGAUUAGUGGCGAACGGGUGAGUAACACGUGACUAACCUGCCCCUUUCUCUGGGAUAACGCUCCGAAAGGAGUGCUAAUACCGGAUACGAACUCUGCGCACAUGUUCGGAGUUGGAGAGCUUUUCGGAAAGGGAUGGAGUCGCGGCCUAUCAGCUUGUUGGUGAGGUAAUGGCUCACCAAGGCGACGACGGGUAGCCGGCCUGAGAGGGCGACCGGCCACACUGGGACUGAGACACGGCCCAGACUCCUACGGGAGGCAGCAGUGGGGAAUAUUGCACAAUGGGCGAAAGCCUGAUGCAGCGACGCCGCGUGAGGGAUGAAGGUCUUCGGAUUGUAAACCUCUUUCAGUAGGGACGAAGCGAAAGUGACGGUACCUAAAGAAGAAGCACCGGCUAACUACGUGCCAGCAGCCGCCGUAA
Molecule: ribosomal RNA, 481 nt
Filed under: uncultured bacterium
Lineage: Bacteria
Description: partial 16S ribosomal RNA
Rfam family: Bacterial small subunit ribosomal RNA
Source: RNAcentral